Molecule: microRNA precursor, 67 nt
Filed under: Bombyx mori (domestic silkworm)
Lineage: Eukaryota; Metazoa; Arthropoda; Insecta; Lepidoptera; Bombycidae
Description: mir-2774 microRNA precursor family
Rfam family: mir-2774 microRNA precursor family
Source: Rfam by way of RNAcentral
ACAACAUUCGGACCGUCGGUCUACCGAGCAAUAUCACCCGUUCGGUGGAAAAUAUAUUCCCCGUCUU